RNAcentral lists this ribosomal RNA (490 nucleotides) under uncultured bacterium. Its description in RNAcentral is "partial 16S ribosomal RNA". It matches the Rfam family "Bacterial small subunit ribosomal RNA", at positions 30 to 507 of the family's 1533-position model. The record is from RNAcentral.
AUUGAACGCUGGCGGCAGGCCUAACACAUGCAAGUCGAACGGUAACAGGGAUCAGCUUGCUGAUUCGCUGACGAGGGGCGGCCGGGUGAGAAAUGUCUGGGAAACUGCUUGAUGGAGGGGGAUAACUACUGGAAACGGUAGCUAAUACCGCAUAACGUCGCAAGCCCAAAGAGGGGGACCUUCGGGCCUCUUGCCAUCGGAUGUGCCCAGAUGGGAUUAGCUAGUAGGUGGGGUAACGGCUCACCUAGGCGACGAUCCCUAGCUGGUCUGAGAGGAUGACCAGCCACACUGGAACUGAGACACGGUCCAGACUCCUACGGGAGGCAGCAGUGGGGAAUAUUGCACAAUGGGCGCAAGCCUGAUGCGGCCAUGCCGCGUGUAUGAAGAAGGCCUUCGGGUUGUAAAGUACUUUCAGCGGGGAGGAAGGGAGUAAAGUUAAUACCUUUGCUCAUUGACGUUACCCGCAGAAGAAGCACCGGCUAACUCCGUG